ACCUAGAGGAAGCAUAGUUUUGACCAUCUUAACAAUCAUCUAGAACACACAAGUCACAAAAAGAUAAGGACUAUUGGUUACUAUGAGAGACUUCAGAUGGUCCAGAACACACAAGUUUGUAUCUACAUGCACAAAGUGCAAGCUACAAAACACUCGAAACACCAAAUGGUCUACAAGACAAUAAGGUCCAUGAUUACAGGUUGGUUGGUCCAUAAACACUAAAGAGUCAUCAUG
RNAcentral lists this long non-coding RNA (234 nucleotides) under Hordeum vulgare. Its description in RNAcentral is "long non-coding RNA (HVUL_LNC003593)". The record is from RNAcentral. Lineage: Eukaryota; Viridiplantae; Streptophyta; Magnoliopsida; Poales; Poaceae.